GAUGAACGCUGGCGGCGUGCUUAACACAUGCAAGUCGAACGAAGCACCUUGAUUUGCUUCUUCGGAUGAAGAUCUUGGUGACUGAGUGGCGGACGGGUGAGUAACGCGUGGGUAACCUGCCUCAUACAGGGGGAUAACAGUUAGAAAUGACUGCUAAUACCGCAUAAGACCACAGCACCGCAUGGUGCAGGGGUAAAAACUCCGGUGGUAUGAGAUGGACCCGCGUCUGAUUAGGUAGUUGGUGGGGUAACGGCCUACCAAGCCGACGAUCAGUAGCCGACCUGAGAGGGUGACCGGCCACAUUGGGACUGAGACACGGCCCAAACUCCUACGGGAGGCAGCAGUGGGGAAUAUUGCACAAUGGGGGAAACCCUGAUGCAGCGACGCCGCGUGAGCGAUGAAGUAUUGCGGUAUGUAAAGCUCUAUCAGCAGGGAAGAAAAUGACGGGACCUGACUAAGAAGCACCGGCUAAAUACG
RNAcentral lists this ribosomal RNA (477 nucleotides) under uncultured bacterium. RNAcentral's name for it is "partial 16S ribosomal RNA". It matches the Rfam family "Bacterial small subunit ribosomal RNA", at positions 28 to 505 of the family's 1533-position model. The record is from RNAcentral.